Pan troglodytes (chimpanzee) is the source of this 3954-nucleotide long non-coding RNA. RefSeq lists it as uncharacterized. The transcript has 6 exons. Lineage: Eukaryota; Metazoa; Chordata; Mammalia; Primates; Hominidae. The record is from RefSeq and is a predicted model, not a curated record.
UGUUUGUUUGUUUUGAUACAGGGUCUUGCUCUGUUGACCAGACCGUGACCUCCUGGGUUCAAACGAGGACUCGGCCUCCUGAGUAGCCGAGACUACAGGGUCUUGCUCUGUUGACCAGACCAUGACCUCCUGGGUUCAAGCGAGGACUCAGCCUCCUGAGUAGCCGGGACUACAGGAGAUGAACAAGCCAUGCGGGUGCCCUCAAGAUGUGUGUGACCAUGGAAUGGGAGACUGGAGGGCCCCAUGAAUUCCAACUACAGGCCUGGUUCCCCCAGUACGAGCCAUAAGCCAGUUGAAUUCGGACGCAAAGACAGAAGGAGGAUCGACCAGAGUCACAUUGACAUCAACCACCAUAAUAUGGGGACAGAUCAAGAAAACCACACAGGAAGCUGAGAAACUGCUGGAGCACCAAGGUUUCACCUUUUGCUGGAACUCAGAGGUACAAUCAAUGCUUAACGGACCAAUGCUUUCUGACUGGACUCCUCUCUACCCUGAAUACAAGAGACCCUAAGAGUUAAGCAGGAAUAUCAGUCUCUAUUCAGCAAGAAGAAGUUGCAGAAGAUGGACCUUCAUCCUUCUGCAACUCUUAGGAUUAAGGGUCCUCUUGUGAAAGGGAAGGGGGAAAUAUGAAAGAAGCAUUCAAACCAGAGUGACUCCAUUUUGAAUGAGGGCUAAGAAAAAUUAAGCUGGAUCACCAACUGGCAAUUAAGGGCUGCACAGCCUGCAAUUGCCUUGCUCAAUUAAUUUAAAAACAAAAAGGAGAUGUUGGAGGCUGCACAAGUAUUUCUUAUGAUUAGGCACAAUUGAAGCCUAUCAGUAGUAAUAUGAACCUGUGAUCAAUUAAGCAGCUGAACAAUCGUUACCUCCUCCUUGCUCUUGUUACCCAAUAAAUAUGAAGCUCUGAGAAGCUCGGGUGGUGGCCUUUGCUCACUACGAGUAGGGAGAUCUUCUCCAGCCAGGACAUGAGGCUUUCAACAGCAUCAGCUGCAGUAUUUUAGGGAGGAUACAAGUUUUCCCUGAAGUCACCUGGGGAAGUAUUCCCGUUUCUCAGGUGCUGGGUGGGGCUGUAGAGCUCCCAAGAGAUUAUGUCUUUUGUCUUUGGCUUCCAGGGCAGGCAGAGAAAGAUCAUCAGUUGGGGAUAGGAUUAGGUAUGUCUGAGCUCAGACUAUCCUUGGGCACAGCUUGCAGUGGCUGCUGUGGGAGAUAGGGGUGUGUUUCUCAGGCUGAUGGAGUUACAUUCCCAGGGCUAUUAGGGCUGCUUCUGCUGCAUCAUACAGGACAUCAGGGAAGUAGGGGGAAAGCUGGCAGUGACAGGCCUCACCCAGCUCCCAUGCAGCCAGAAAUGCCAGUCUCACUCCUGCUGUGCUCCCCCAACAGCACCGACUUUAUAUCCAGGGGCUGAGAACUUGCCAGGGGAAAGCCCGCCUGCUGAGAAAGCAAGCAGGGCUUUCAGGCAUUGCCCCCUCCCUGCCCCGGCUUCUGUGCUUUUAUUGGCACUUUGUUUUUGCCUCCCACCCCCAAAUUGUGUCCUGGAAAAUUCACGGUUAGUUGAAAUUAUCACAAAGUUCAGCUGGAAGUUUCCUUCUCCCUGUGGUCCUUCCCCAAUUUUACUGGCAUCCCUCUGUUAUAAAUAAAGUUUCAGUGCCACAAAAGAAAUAGCACUCGAAUAUAAAAUUUUCUUUUUAAUUCUCAGCAAGGCAAGUCACUUCUAUAGAAGGGUGCACCCUUACAGAUGGAGCAAUGGUGAGAGCACACUUGGACAAGUGAGGGAAACGGGUUCUUAUCCCUGACUCCUGUGGCCCCUGCUGCUGUGUUGUUCCCCUAUUGGCUAGGGUUAGACCGCACAGGCUAAACUAAUUCAGACUGGCUAAUUUAAAGAGUGACAGGGUGAGUGGUUUGGUGGGAAAAAUGGUUAUGACAGAGCAGGUAAUUGGAAUGAGUCAGGGUAGAGCAGGUAAUCGAAAAAGGUUGCUUUACAAUAAAGUUAAGUUUAAAAGUCAAAGGCAAAGAAUUGAAUAUACUGACACUGAUUCUUUGAAAAGAAAUUUAGAACUGAUAUCUAACAUUGGCAAAACAUGAAAAGGAGAAACGGGGCGGGGGAAGAAGAAAACGAGGAGAUUAUGAUGUUCCAGAAUUGCAAGCCAUGGAGUCAUUGAUGAGUAAGUAGUGUCAGUAGUGGCUACAUGGUUUCAAGAUUAACCUUUGGCUGAGCAAUGAGGAGUCAUUGCCAAUGUUGUCAAAGUGGUUGCAGAGAAAGAGUGGCUGGAAGACGAAGCAGAGCAGGUGUGCAAGAGAAUGGCAAAUGGUGUGAUGGAUUUCCUGGACACCCCUGAUGUGAAUUGAAACACCACAGACAAGACAGUUCAGGUGGACACGCGCCCACUGAUACUCCUUCUAAUUGCCACAUGUGAGAGGAGGAUAUGACACGUGAUAUCGCAGGGAGUAGAAACACCCCUGUGAUACUGUUCUUCAUAUUCAGGGAUGAAGAGGAUGAUAUUAAUCCCAAUACAGAUGGGUGUGCACCCUCUGUACACCGAGGUUGUACACCCGUCUGUGAAAGUGUUCGUAAUCUCCAGAGGGGGAGAAUAUAUUACUCACAAUAUGGUAAAGAGGCUGUGAGUCCACGGAGGAUCCUCAGAGCCAGCGGGGGAAGAGGAGCUGGCUUUCAGUCCCUCCCUCACGGGGGUGACUACCCCCACUGCGAUGGGGGACCUAAGAGCCAGUGGGGGAAGAGGGGCUGGCUCUGAGUCCCCGCCUCGCUGGGGUUGCCUCCCCCCCCUGCGAUGGGGGUCCUAAGAGCCAGGAGCAGAAGAGGGGCUGGCUCUCUGUACCCGCCUCUCGAGGGGUGCCUCCCCCCCGUGAUGGGGGUCCUAAGAGCCAGAAGGCUUAGAGGGGCUUGCUCUCAGUCCCCGCCUCGUGGGGGGUGCCUCCUCCCCCUGCGAUGGGGGUCCUAAGGGCCCAGGAGGAAGAGGGGCUGGCUCUGAGUCCCCGCCUCGCGGGGAGUGCCUCCCCUUCCUGCGACGGUGGUCCUAAGAGCCAGGGGGGAAGAGGAGCUGGCUCUCAGUCUCCGCCUCGUGAGGUGCCUCCCCACCUUGCGAUCAGGGUCCCAAGAGCCAAGGUGGAAGAGGGGCUGGCUCUCUUUGUGGAUGUUUCUUUUUCCAUUCUCAGGCAGUUUUCUUUUUUCUUUCUUUUUUUUUUUUUGAGACUGUGUCUUGCUCUGUUGCCCAUGCUUUGCUGAAUCUCAGGUGACUGCAACCACUGCCUCCCAGGUUCAAGAGAUUCUCCUGCCUCAGCCUCCUGUGUAGCUGGGACUAGAGGCGUGUGUCACCACACCCAACUAAUUUUCGUAUUUUUAGUAGAGAUGGGGUUUCACCAUGUUUGCCAGGAUGGUCUCUAUCUCCUGACCUUGUGAUUCACCCACCUCAGCCUCCCAAAGUGCUGGGAUUGCAGGUGCGAGCCACCGGAUCCAGCCUCUCAGACGAUUUUCAUACCUGCAUACUCUGAUCACUACUCUAUUAAACAGUCAACGAGGCUGAGUGCCACGUGCUGACAUCACUAAGAUCAAUACAGCAAACUCUGAAAGAUGGACAGGGAGACAGGAGAUGGUCCUUUAUAAUGCAGUGUGAUCUGUGCUGCAAUAGAGUUUUGGAAGCUAGAAGUUCAAAACGAGGUGUUGGCAGCACCAUGCUCUCUCUGAAGAUGCUAGGAAGAAUCUGCUCCAUGCCUUUCCAUUCGCUUCUGGGGUUUCCUGCAAGCCCUGACAUUCCUUGGCUUGUAGAUGCAUCACCCCAGUUUCCGCCCCCAUCAUCACAUGGCCUCCUCUCUGCGUGUGCCUCUGCCUUCCCUCUGUUCUUCUUCUAAGGACACCGACACCAGUCAUAGUGGAUUAAGGGUCCACUCCUAACUAAUUAUAUCUGCAACAACCCUAUUUCCAAAUAAAGUCACAUUCUAAGA